UAAGUAUAACCGAUUCUACCGUCAUUCACUUUGUCGUCAUUCGCAAGGGACUACCACCUGAAACACGACAAAAUAAAGAAGCUUCGAUUCAAAGGUAAUCAUCCAAACAUUCCUAUUCAAAAGCAUUCAUGCAAUAUUCAUACAUACAUUUGGUGGCACUUAUACUCUCCUAAACAUCAUCCUCGAAUAUUCAUUAUGACUAAUCAAGGAAACGUUUCAUGUUGGUAAGCGUCCUAGCAAACCCUAAAAUAAGAUUCAAACUUAACAAGUUGCUGAAAUUUUAUCAAGGAUGACACUAAAUGAUAACAUUUCAAAAAAAUGAGUAAUUUUUAAAAAAGUUCAGAUUUCUAAAACUCAUCAUAACAACAAAAUAGUCCAGAUUUUAGUUCAAGCAACCUAAUCAAACAAAACUAUCAUCAUCAACUAAGUAAAAUCAGAAUGAGUGAAGGGUUUAACCUUUUACCUUUCUCGUCCUUUGCUCCAGCGAGUCCGUCUUCGAAGGGAACUUUUUCUACCUUCCUCCGUAUCUCCUUUCGUUGUGCGUUGUGGGAGGAGAGAGGAGGCGGAGGCGGCGGCGCCCGUCGCCGUCGGCGAGACCAGAAAAAAUAGGGGGAGGAGAGGCAAAAAAAGAAGAAAAAGGGUAAAAAAAAGUAGCGGCGGCGGUCGUGGUGGCGGCGGCGGUGGUAGAGAAGAAAGAGAGAAGAGAGGAGAAGGGUUAGAGAGAAGGGAGAGGGUUUCAGAGAGAAGUCAGAGAGAUUUGAGAGGAGAGGAGGAGAGGAGAGAGAGUGAGGGCUGU
This 796-nucleotide long non-coding RNA is filed under the name Linum usitatissimum (flax). RNAcentral describes it as "long non-coding RNA (LUSI_LNC004904)". Lineage: Eukaryota; Viridiplantae; Streptophyta; Magnoliopsida; Malpighiales; Linaceae. The record is from RNAcentral.